CGCGAGGUAGCUUAAGUAGUAAAGCCCCCGACUGUGACUCGGGUGAUUCGGGUGCAAGUCCCGGCCUGUCGCCAU
RNAcentral lists this transfer RNA (75 nucleotides) under Mycobacterium phage CELFI. RNAcentral's name for it is "tRNA-His". It matches the Rfam family "tRNA". Rfam says of the family: Transfer RNA (tRNA) molecules are approximately 80 nucleotides in length. Their secondary structure includes four short double-helical elements and three loops (D, anti-codon, and T loops). Lineage: Duplodnaviria; Heunggongvirae; Uroviricota; Caudoviricetes; Vilmaviridae. The record is from RNAcentral.